GGGUUGUGAGGUUAAGCGACUAAGCGUACACGGUGGAUGCCCUGGCAGUCAGAGGCGAUGAAGGACGUGCUAAUCUGCGAUAAGCGCCGGUAAGGUGAUAUGAACCGUUAUAACCGGCGAUUUCCGAAUGGGGAAACCCAGUGUGACUCGUCACACUAUCAUUAACUGAAUCCAUAGGUUAAUGAGGCGAACCGGGGGAACUGAAACAUCUAAGUACCCCGAGGAAAAGAAAUCAACCGAGAUUCCCCCAGUAGCGGCGAGCGAACGGGGAGGAGCCCAGAGCCUGAAUCAGCAUGUGUGUUAGUGGAAGCGUCUGGAAAGGCGCGCGAUACAGGGUGACAGCCCCGUACACAAAAGCGCAUAUGCUGUGAGCUCGAUGAGUAGGGCGGGACACGUGGUAUCCUGUCUGAAUAUGGGGGGACCAUCCUCCAAGGCUAAAUACUCCUGACUGACCGAUAGUGAACCAGUACCGUGAGGGAAAGGCGAAAAGAACCCCGGCGAGGGGAGUGAAAAAGAACCUGAAACCGUGUACGUACAAGCAGUGGGAGCCCCACCACUAAGCCAGUGGUGAACUCCACAUACGCAUCCUUUGCUGAGGAUACGGUUAACGGAGCGAAAGCGACGUUCAACCGCAAAAGAAGCAGAGGGGGCUUAGUGGUGGGGUGACUGCGUACCUUUUGUAUAAUGGGUCAGCGACUUAUAUUCUGUAGCAAGGUUAACCGAAUAGGGGAGCCGGAGGGAAACCGAGUCUUAAC
RNAcentral lists this ribosomal RNA (755 nucleotides) under Salmonella enterica. RNAcentral's name for it is "partial 23S ribosomal RNA". It matches the Rfam family "Bacterial large subunit ribosomal RNA", at positions 1 to 688 of the family's 2925-position model. The record is from RNAcentral. RNAcentral also lists the same sequence under 1 other name. Lineage: Bacteria; Pseudomonadati; Pseudomonadota; Gammaproteobacteria; Enterobacterales; Enterobacteriaceae.